UACAGAGGUCUCAAGCGUUGUUCGGAUUCAUUGGGCGUAAAGGGUGCGUAGGCGGCGCGGUAAGUCGGGUGUGAAAUUUCGAGGCUUAACUCCGAAACUGCAUUCGAUACUGCCGUGCUUGAGGACUGGAGAGGAGACUGGAAUUUACGGUGUAGCGGUGAAAUGCGUAGAUAUCGUAAGGAAGACCAGUGGCGAAGGCGGGUCUCUGGACAGUUCCUGACGCUGAGGCACGAAGGCCAGGGGAGCAAACGGG
This 253-nucleotide ribosomal RNA is filed under the name uncultured bacterium. RNAcentral's name for it is "partial 16S ribosomal RNA". It matches the Rfam family "Bacterial small subunit ribosomal RNA", at positions 524 to 776 of the family's 1533-position model. The record is from RNAcentral.